UACGUAGGGUGCUAGCGUUGUUCGGAAUCAUUGGGCGUAAAGCGCGUGUAGGUGGUUAGGUAAGUCGGGUGUGAAAUCCCAGGGCUCAACCGUGGAAGUGCAUCCGAAACUGCCUAGCUAGAGGACGGUAGAGGAAGGUGGAAUUCCUAGUGUAGAGGUGAAAUUCGUAGAUAUUAGGAGGAAUACCGGUGGCGAAGGCGGCCUUCUGGGCCGUUCCUGACACUGAGACGCGAAAGCGUGGGGAGCAAACAG
RNAcentral lists this ribosomal RNA (252 nucleotides) under uncultured bacterium. RNAcentral's name for it is "partial 16S ribosomal RNA". It matches the Rfam family "Bacterial small subunit ribosomal RNA", at positions 524 to 775 of the family's 1533-position model. The record is from RNAcentral.